This 1228-nucleotide long non-coding RNA is filed under the name Homo sapiens (human). Its description in RNAcentral is "non-protein coding lnc-UAP1L1-2:3". Lineage: Eukaryota; Metazoa; Chordata; Mammalia; Primates; Hominidae. The record is from RNAcentral.
UGUGCUGCACAUGACCCCGGCUGAGCUGGGAACAUGCGGAUGCAGAGAGAGAUGGGGUCUCUCACUGCGUUGCCCAGGCUGCUCUGGAACUCCUGGCCUCAAGUGCUGGGAUUCCAGGCGUGAACCACCACGCCCGGCUGAGAUGUUCCUUUUCCUUGGAACUUGAUCAACACAAAAUCCUGAGGCCUGGUGUGGGUGUGUUCCUCUGGGGCAGAUUCUCAACUGGGGACACUUCUGCCCCCAAGGACACAUUUCAACAUCCUGAGACAUUUCCGGGUGUCAUCACAGUGUGCACGCACGUGUAUGUACCUGCACACGCUACUGGCACCUCGCGGAUAGAGCCCAGGGACGCUGCUCACAUCCUGCACGGAGACUGACCCGCCCAGCGUCCUAGGGCAGGCUCCAGGCAGGGUCUGCAUGUGCCUCUGCCAGCCACCUAGACCCUGCCAGCCGGGGCCUUUAAAUUCUCCCCUCGUGGUCUCCAGGGCCACUCACUAGCCUGAUUUCAAGCUGUAAACUGGGAGGACCUAUUUCUUUUCACCUUGCACGGAACACCAAGGCUGAAAGGCAGUUUUUCCGGAGGUGCCAGCCUGUCUCACAUUUCCGCUUCAGCUGCGGGGUCCAGCUCUAUGUGGGCGGUCUCCUGAUGAAGUCACCCCGGGACAGACACUGUUCUGUCUCCUGCUUCCAGUCCAGUAAAGAUGCCAGGAUCCCCCAGGGCAUGGCAGGCACCCUCAAAGGCAGACGUGGGGAGGCCCUGGUGGGCAGACCCCAGCCUGCUGACGGGGGGCUUCUCCCUGGCUGCCACUGGCCCACCCACUGCGCUGCAGUCCACCUGGUGCUGGGGCUGUGGGGCACAGGCCCUCAGGACCUGCACCCUUUCCUGCCCAGGAGGUCCAGGCCUGACAUCCUUAUGUCCCCUGGAAAGCCCACUCCCAUCUUCAGGGUAGGAGGGCAGCUGCAUGCUGGGCUGACUUGGGCCUGUCCUGGGACACCCCUGCAGACCAGGUGCAGCAGGGAAUGUGGCUCUGUGGGGUUGCUGUGGGCAGGUUAGCAUGGAGCUGGGCUCCGGAAGGGAGUUGCCACGCUGCCUGCCAGGGCCCCUCCUCUGAGACAGGUGCCUUGUGGGACAGUGUACCAAAGUGCCCUGGACACGAGGGGGCCCUGCGCCCCCCACGCACUGACCCCGCAUCGGAGGCCCUGCGCCCCACACACACUGACCCCGCAU